GAUGUUGAAUCAUCUCAGCAACACUGAUUUGGGAGAAAUAUUGAACGAUGAUGGAAGAUUCGAGGAAGUUGUCAAUGACAUAAAACAGAUAUGCGACUUACUUACUUUUCGUGAGGUUUUCUAAUUUAAAGAGUUGGAAUCUGAAAAGGAAGUUCUGAUCGCUGGAAAUCGUUCUCUGGCCGAAGUCAAUCUAGAAAAGCAACUCCAACUCGAGGAGAAUAAAAAAGCAUUACAUGAACUGUCUGAAAGAAAGGCUGUGAGCUGCUGUGGAAAUUGAAGAAGAAUCGGAAAAAAUAGCUGAGAAAUUCUUAUCGGGAGAUACAGAAGUCGAUGAAUUCCUGGAACAAUUCUUGACCCGAAGAAAGAUAAUGC
This is a long non-coding RNA of Fopius arisanus, 372 nucleotides long. RefSeq lists it as uncharacterized. The transcript has 3 exons. NCBI's taxonomy places the organism in Eukaryota, Metazoa, Arthropoda, Insecta, Hymenoptera, Braconidae. The record is from RefSeq and is a predicted model, not a curated record.